RNAcentral lists this ribosomal RNA (274 nucleotides) under uncultured bacterium. RNAcentral describes it as "partial 16S ribosomal RNA". It matches the Rfam family "Bacterial small subunit ribosomal RNA", at positions 523 to 796 of the family's 1533-position model. The record is from RNAcentral.
AUACAGAGGGUGCAAGCGUUAUUCGGAAUUACUGGGCGUAAAGCGCGCGUAGGCGGAUGAUUAAGUCAGUUUUGAAAGCCCUGGGCUCAACCUAGGAACUGCAUCUGAUACUGGUCGUCUAGAGUUUAAGAGAGGGAAGUGGAAUUCCAGGUGUAGCAGUGAAAUGCGUAGAUAUCUGGAGGAACAUCAGUGGCGAAGGCGACUUCCUGGCUUAAAACUGACGCUGAGGUGCGAAAGCGUGGGUAGCGAACGGGAUUAGAUACCCUAGUAGUCC